CGAAACUCGAGCGAGAAACCAAAUGUCAAAAAUAGCACUAGAAAUUUGAAUUUUAAGAAACACGGCACAAUGUUCAACAAAUUACGAAAUUUGCCCUAAACCAUGUAUUUUCAAAAACAAGCGAACUACGUAAUAGUGGAAAAUAAUCCCAAAAACAAACAAAAAAAAAAUAGCAUGAAACCAAAUAUGCAAUCGAAACCAACAAUAAGCAUAAAAUCACAAACCCAACAACCAGCACGUAGACAAAUCGUAAGUCCACACAUAGUUCAGAAUCCUGUGGAGUAAAGUGUAUACAGAACAUCACCGUGAAACGUGCCACGUAGUCCAUGUAAGUUAGACUCAAAACCUUAAAUUAGUGAGAAAGGACACGUGAAAACAACCAGACAAAGGUGAAUGUCUACCAAGUGACAGUCAAAUCCAAUUCCACGAGGACCUAUAUCAAUUAUUAUGAUUGUCACAAUUUUACUCCCCCUAACUGUAUGAUUCCAUUUUUUUUUAAAUAAGAAUAACAAAAGAACUUAAGUGCAAUGCAAUCCUCAUUAGGCAACAUAAAUGACCCCUGUAACGAACUUUGGGCCGGUGACUCCCAAGUCAGACGACCAUAGGGCACCAGGUUAGAAACCCCUCAGGCUUAAUUGUUCGAGUCAAGUAGGCCCCGAAGAUAGUCAUAAGUUCAACAAAUAACAAAAUAAAACUGGGGAAAGACAAUAUUGAUUAGGUUACACUCGUCCCAGAUCACGUCAAAUGUACAUACAACCCCAAUCAUAGAAGAACACCAUCCCAAGUCUCACCCAUGCGGUCAAGACUCACUUACAGGACUACAGUGUGUGCUGUGUGAAAAUGAAUGACGAGCCAUAUACCCAGAACUCCACAGUCAAAAAAUGAACAAUGAUGGAACCUCAGACUCGUACAUAUGAAGAAAAAUAGAGUUUGAUCUUUAAUGCAAAUGCCAUAAUCGUUACAUAAAGGCCCAAAAUUUUUUUUUAUAUAAUUUUAUUAUUAUUAUUAUUUUUUAAUUUUUUUUAUUUAAACACACGAAUAUAACACACAAAAGAAGACUAAACUUACAAAAAAAAUGCAUCACACACUCACAU
This 1094-nucleotide long non-coding RNA is filed under the name Olea europaea subsp. europaea. The record is from RNAcentral. Lineage: Eukaryota; Viridiplantae; Streptophyta; Magnoliopsida; Lamiales; Oleaceae.